AUGAUAAUACUGGUUCUUCUGCUGGGAGCACUGGGGCUGAUCACUCAGGACUCUUUGGGGGACAUAAUUCUCACUCAGUCUCCGGCGUCUCAGUCUGUUUCUCCAGGAGAGACUGUUACUCUCAGCUGCAGAGCUGAUGUGGAUAUUGAUGAUGAUCUGUACUGGUACCUGCAGAAACCCGGAGAAUCUCCUAAACUCCUGAUUUAUACAGCCACCACUCGUCAGUCUGGAAUUCCAGAUCGUUUCAGUGGCAGUGGCUACAACAGAGAUUUCACUCUGAAGAUCACUGGAGUUCAGCCUGAAGAUGCAGGAGAUUAUUACUGUCAGCAGGAUGACGCUACUCCGUUCACACAGUGA
Non-coding RNA from Pygocentrus nattereri (red-bellied piranha), 357 nucleotides. NCBI's taxonomy places the organism in Eukaryota, Metazoa, Chordata, Actinopteri, Characiformes, Serrasalmidae. The record is from the annotation of a RefSeq genome assembly.